RNAcentral lists this ribosomal RNA (253 nucleotides) under uncultured bacterium. RNAcentral describes it as "partial 16S ribosomal RNA". It matches the Rfam family "Bacterial small subunit ribosomal RNA", at positions 524 to 776 of the family's 1533-position model. The record is from RNAcentral.
UACGUAGGGUGCGAGCGUUAAUCGGAAUUACUGGGCGUAAAGCGUGCGCAGGCGGUUCUCCAAGUCCGUUGUGAAAGCCCCGGGCUCAACCUGGGAAUGGCAGUGGAAACUAGGGGACUUGAAUCUGGCAGAGGGGGGUGGAAUUCCACGUGUAGCAGUGAAAUGCGUAGAGAUGUGGAGGAACACCGAUGGCGAAGGCAGGUCUCUGGGCUAUAACUGACGCUGAGAAGCGAAAGCAUGGGGAGCGAACAGG